Molecule: ribosomal RNA, 465 nt
Filed under: uncultured Selenomonas sp.
Lineage: Bacteria; Bacillati; Bacillota; Negativicutes; Selenomonadales; Selenomonadaceae
Description: bacterial SSU rRNA
Rfam family: Bacterial small subunit ribosomal RNA
Source: RNAcentral
CCUACGGGGGGCAGCAGUGGGGAAUCUUCCGCAAUGGGCGCAAGCCUGACGGAGCAACGCCGCGUGAGUGAAGAAGGUCUUCGGAUCGUAAAGCUCUGUUGAUGGGGACGAACGUGCCUAAUGCGAAUAGUAUUAGGUAAUGACGGUACCCAUCGAGGAAGCCACGGCUAACUACGUGCCAGCAGCCGCGGUAAUACGUAGGUGGCGAGCGUUGUCCGGAAUCAUUGGGCGUAAAGGGAGCGCAGGCGGGCAUGUAAGUCUUUCUUAAAAGUGCGGGGCUCAACCCCGUGAUGGGAAAGAAACUAUGUGUCUUGAGUACAGGAGAGGAAAGCGGAAUUCCCAGUGUAGCGGUGAAAUGCGUAGAUAUUGGGAGGAACACCAGUGGCGAAGGCGGCUUUCUGGACUGCAACUGACGCUGAGGCUCGAAAGCCAGGGGAGCGAACGGGAUUAGAUACCCUUGUAGUC